CGGAACGAGUUAUCUGAACCUUCGGGGAACGAUAACGGCGUCGAGCGGCGGACGGGUGAGUAAUGCCUAGGAAAUUGCCCUGAUGUGGGGGAUAACCAUUGGAAACGAUGGCUAAUACCGCAUAAUGCCUACGGGCCAAAGAGGGGGACCUUCGGGCCUCUCGCGUCAGGAUAUGCCUAGGUGGGAUUAGCUAGUUGGUGAGGUAAGGGCUCACCAAGGCGACGAUCCCUAGCUGGUCUGAGAGGAUGAUCAGCCACACUGGAACUGAGACACGGUCCAGACUCCUACGGGAGGCAGCAGUGGGGAAUAUUGCACAAUGGGCGCAAGCCUGAUGCAGCCAUGCCGCGUGUGUGAAGAAGGCCUUCGGGUUGUAAAGCACUUUCAGUCGUGAGGAAGGUAGUGUAGUUAAUAGCUGCAUUAUUUGACGUUAGCGACAGAAGAAGCACCGGCUAACUCCGUGCCAGCAGCCGCGGUAAUACGGAGGGUGCGAGCGUUAAUCGGAAUUACUGGGCGUAAAGCGCAUGCAGGUGGUUUGUUAAGUCAGAUGUGAAAGCCCGGGGCUCAACCUCGGAAUUGCAUUUGAAACUGGCAGACUAGAGUACUGUAGAGGGGGGUAGAAUUUCAGGUGUAGCGGUGAAAUGCGUAGAGAUCUGAAGGAAUACCGGUGGCGAAGGCGGCCCCCUGGACAGAUACUGACACUCAGAUGCGAAAGCGUGGGGAGCAAACAGGAUUAGAUACCCUGGUAGUCCACGCCGUAAACGAUGUCUACUUGGAGGUUGUGGCCUUGAGCCGUGGCUUUCGGAGCUAACGCGUUAAGUAGACCGCCUGGGGAGUACGGUCGCAAGAUUAUAACUCAAAUGAAUUGACGGGGGCCCGCACAAGCGGUGGAGCAUGUGGUUUAAUUCGAUGCAACGCGAAGAACCUUACCUACUCUUGACAUCCAGAGAACUUUCCAGAGAUGGAUUGGUGCCUUCG
RNAcentral lists this ribosomal RNA (975 nucleotides) under marine bacterium BL10_015. RNAcentral's name for it is "bacterial SSU rRNA". It matches the Rfam family "Bacterial small subunit ribosomal RNA", at positions 67 to 1022 of the family's 1533-position model. The record is from RNAcentral.